Long non-coding RNA from Coregonus clupeaformis (lake whitefish), 540 nucleotides. RefSeq lists it as uncharacterized. The transcript has 3 exons. The record is from RefSeq and is a predicted model, not a curated record. NCBI's taxonomy places the organism in Eukaryota, Metazoa, Chordata, Actinopteri, Salmoniformes, Salmonidae.
UGGCAUCCCUUGGGAGAACUGCAUUGGUCUCUCAGUUUACAAUGCAGCUGUGAACAUUGGACCACGUAAUUCCAUUGCCUCUAGGGUGCUCCAGAAGCAUCCCAACACCUAUAUUCAUGGUUGUCCUUGUCAUGUGGCACAUAACACCGCCAAAGCUGCAGGAGUGGGAUUUUUUAAAGAUUUUUUAAAGUGUCCGGUUUUGAUUUGGAGGAUAUGGUAGUGGACAUCGGUUACUGGUUCAAGGGUAGCACAAAUCGGAAAGGAUACCUGUCAGGUAUGCAUGUUUGAUACUAUUAAGUGUAAUACUGAAAUGCUGAGCUGUAGAAAAUAUAUGAUAUGGAUUUAAUGUCUAAAACAGAGUUUUGUGAGCUCCAUGAAGCGGAGUACAUGGAGGUCCUCCUGUGUAUCUCGGUCCGUUGGCUAAGCCUUGAACGUUGUGUGACCAGGAUCCUGAGGCUGUAUGAACCUCUGGCCAGCUACUACAAAUCUGCUAAUGAAAAUCAGGCCAGGUUCAAGAGACUUGUGCAGACAUUCACUGAC